GAUGAACGCUGGCGGCGUGCCUAAUACAUGCAAGUCGAGCGAACGGACGAGAAGCUUGCUUCACUGAUGUUAGCGGCGGACGGGUGAGUAACACGUGAAUAACCUACCUAUAAGACUGGGAUAACUUCGGGAAACCGUAGCUAAUACCGGAUAAUAUUUUGAACCGCAUGGUUCAAAAGUGAAAGACGGUCUUGCUGUCACUUAUAGAUGGAUCCGCGCUGCAUUAGCUAGUUGGUAAGGUAACGGCUUACCAAGGCAACGAUGCAUAGCCGACCUGAGAGGGUGAUCGGCCACACUGGAACUGAGACACGGUCCAGACUCCUACGGGAGGCAGCAGUAGGGAAUCUUCCGCAAUGGGCGAAAGCCUGACGGAGCAACGCCGCGUGAGUGAUGAAGGGCUUCGGAUCGUAAAACUCUGUUAUUAGUGAAGAACAUAUGUGUAAGUAACUGUGCACAUCUUGACGGUACCUAAUCAGAAAGCCACGGCUAACUACGUG
Molecule: ribosomal RNA, 497 nt
Filed under: uncultured bacterium
Lineage: Bacteria
Description: partial 16S ribosomal RNA
Rfam family: Bacterial small subunit ribosomal RNA
Source: RNAcentral